Molecule: ribosomal RNA, 446 nt
Filed under: uncultured bacterium
Lineage: Bacteria
Description: partial 16S ribosomal RNA
Rfam family: Bacterial small subunit ribosomal RNA
Source: RNAcentral
CCUACGGGCGGCUGCAGUCGAGAAUCAUUCACAAUGGGGGAAACCCUGAUGGUGCGACGCCGCGUGGGGGAAUGAAGGUCUUCGGAUUGUAAACCCCUGUCAUGUGGGAGCAAAUUAAAAAGAUAGUACCCCAAGAGGAAGAGACGGCUAACUCUGUGCCAGCAGCCGCGGUAAUACAGCGGUCUCAAGCGUUGGUCGGAAUCACUGGGCGUAAAGCGUGCGUAGGCUGUUUCGUAAGUCGUGUGUGAAAGGUGCGGGCUGAACCCGCGGACGGCACAUGAUACUGCGAGACUAGAGUAAUGGAGGGGGAACCGGAAUGCUCGGUGUAGCAGUGAAAUGCGUAGAUAUCGAGAGGAACAUUCGUGGCGAAGGCGGGUUCCUGGACAUUAACUGACGCUGAGGCACGAAGGCCAGGGGAGCGAAAGGGAUUAGAUACCCCAGUAGUC